CCCUUAGACGUUCUGGGCCGCACGCGCGCUACACUGACGAAGGCAACGAGCUUUCCUUUACCGAAAGGUACGGGUAAUCUUUUGAAACUUCGUCGUGCUGGGGAUAGAUCCUUGCAAUUAUUGAUCUUAAACGAGGAAUUCCUAGUAAGCGCAAGUCAUCAACUUGCGUUGAUUACGUCCCUGCCCUUUGUACACACCGCCCGUCGCUACUACCGAUUGAAUGGUUUAGUGAGGCCUUCGGAUCCGCGACUCGUUUUGUGGAGAAGUUGGACAAACUCAGUCAUUUAGAGGAAGUAAAAGUCGUAGCA
This 308-nucleotide ribosomal RNA is filed under the name uncultured eukaryote. RNAcentral's name for it is "partial 18S ribosomal RNA". It matches the Rfam family "Eukaryotic small subunit ribosomal RNA", at positions 1470 to 1796 of the family's 1831-position model. The record is from RNAcentral.